UACAGAGGGUGCAAGCGUUAAUCGGAAUUACUGGGCGUAAAGCGUGCGUAGGUGGUUAGCUAAGUCAGAUGUGAAAGCCCCGGGCUUAACCUGGGAAUUGCAUUUGAUACUGGCUAGCUAGAGUUUGGUAGAGGGAAGUGGAAUUCCAGGUGUAGCGGUGAAAUGCGUAGAUAUCUGGAGGAACACCGGUGGCGAAGGCGGCGCUCUGGGCCGGAACUGACGCUGAGGAGCGAAAGCGUGGGGAGCAAACAGG
This 253-nucleotide ribosomal RNA is filed under the name uncultured bacterium. RNAcentral describes it as "partial 16S ribosomal RNA". It matches the Rfam family "Bacterial small subunit ribosomal RNA", at positions 524 to 776 of the family's 1533-position model. The record is from RNAcentral.